RNAcentral lists this ribosomal RNA (71 nucleotides) under Odoribacter splanchnicus. The record is from RNAcentral. Lineage: Bacteria; Pseudomonadati; Bacteroidota; Bacteroidia; Bacteroidales; Odoribacteraceae.
AAAGGUGUCUAUAACCGGGGGGAUCCACCUCUUUCCAUUCCGAACAGAGAAGUUAAGCCCCUGAGUGCCGA